Long non-coding RNA from Eleginops maclovinus (Patagonian blennie), 1590 nucleotides. RefSeq lists it as uncharacterized. The transcript is spliced from 3 exons. The record is from RefSeq and is a predicted model, not a curated record. NCBI's taxonomy places the organism in Eukaryota, Metazoa, Chordata, Actinopteri, Perciformes, Eleginopidae.
AAUAUUUUCAGGGGUAUCAUGUCUCAGAGUUUUCACACCUCCACACAAGAUGUCCAUCCUCGUCGAGAGGACGAGGAGGAGGAAGAGGAAGCUGCACUCUUCCUCCUUUUGAUAGUGCUGAGGCGAGGAGCAGAUGGCGCGAGAGAUUGGAAACAUCGUCUGGAGUCGGACAACCCAGGGCUAAUGGCAAGCUGUGCUGGCAGUGUGUGAGAGUGUGUGAGGGCUUCGAAUUGUCCUACUGUGCAUAGCUGGCUAGCAAAAGUUCAUUACUUUGUGUGUGUGUGCACAUGUGUGAAGUUCCGAGUCUUUAGCUUUUUAAAUGUCACCAUGUGAUCAUGUGUUUCUAGAGUUGUUCAAGGACGACAAAGAAGAGAAGAACAGCUCGUUUAAGACUCAUUAUUUCUUUAAGCCUUUUCAAAAAUCACUCUCAAACCACAUUAAAGCACGGAGGCUUUAUUCAUCAUGGUUUGGAGGAUUCAAAGUAAGCCUCUAAAGUGUCAGCGUGUGCGACGGUAAGCAAGCCAGAGGAAGUUAACAAGAGUAAACGAAAGGCAAACAGAGGUAGUUUAUGUCACCAUUAAAUCCUGCUCCUGUGAUGUAUACCCGAAAGCUUUCUAAACCAGGAAAAUCACUUCAAUGGAGACAAUUUGUGGAUGAAUUUCAAAAACAAACAGGGCCAGUUCCAACUAAAGGUUUGUGUCAAAAAGACAUUUGAUAUCAUCAGAAAACACUUUCAGGUGAAGCUGCAGAAGGCAUGCACCAACAACAUAUCCCAUCCUUUCACUAUGAGGGCCUUUUGACUCUGUGUUCGCCAAAAAAUACACAUUUCUUAUCGUCUGAUCUCAGCGGUGUGGACCUGGUUGUUGACAGCAUGGGUCCCCUUUUCAGACGCCUUGUUUCGGUUUCUCAUGAUUAAUGAUCGGUUGCAUUUCGUGAGAAGAAUGAUCGUUUAUCAUCUCCAGGAAGAAAAUCAUGAGUGACUGCUGCAAAAACAUCUUGGAGGAGAUAUUGUUUGCUGGUCUUUUGCACAAAACUGGCUGAACAUGGAACUGCACAGUGGUCACAGCACAUCCUAAAACAGAAAUGCCGGGGCAGCUGGGAGAUCCUGGGGAGAUAAGUGGCGCCAAAGGCACUGCUGAUGUCACUGUCUCUGGACCGAGAGCCCUCCCUCCUCCCUUCACCUCCUGCACUCUGACACAAAAAUGCCAUAGAGGAGUUUGAUUCCAAAACAAAGAAAAGCUGCUCCUUCCAGCUCAACACAGUCCUAACGGGCAGCCCAUCAGGAAGCUGCAGACUCCCACAGAAGCAUUUUACUCUUAAUUUCCUUUUCUAUCACAAAGGGUCAAAAGCUAUCACUAUGUUAUAUCUUUCUUCUUGGAGAAGCCAGUAAUUUAAGAUUUGUAUUAUCAACAACUUUGCUGCAGUUCGUGUGCAUAUGAUAAAUAAAGCCUCUGAGUCCUGCUUUGCAGAAUGACGUGCGAGUUUAACAUUAAAAGAGGCUUUUUAUGUAAGUGGACUAUUUUUUGUAAUCUCAAAAAGCUUGAAAGCUACUGUAAUAUCCAACCUACACAAAUAUAAACAAUAUUUGGA